AAAUUGAAGAGUUUGAUCAUGGCUCAGAUUGAACGCUGGCGGCAGGCCUAACACAUGCAAGUCGAACGGUAACAGGAAGCAGCUUGCUGCUUUGCUGACGAGUGGCGGACGGGUGAGUAAUGUCUGGGAAACUGCCUGAUGGAGGGGGAUAACUACUGGAAACGGUAGCUAAUACCGCAUAACGUCGCAAGACCAAAGAGGGGGACCUUCGGGCCUCUUGCCAUCGGAUGUGCCCAGAUGGGAUUAGCUAGUAGGUGGGGUAACGGCUCACCUAGGCGACGAUCCCUAGCUGGUCUGAGAGGAUGACCAGCCACACUGGAACUGAGACACGGUCCAGACUCCUACGGGAGGCAGCAGUGGGGAAUAUUGCACAAUGGGCGCAAGCCUGAUGCAGCCAUGCCGCGUGUAUGAAGAAGGCCUUCGGGUUGUAAAGUACUUUCAGCGGGGAGGAAGGGAGUAAAGUUAAUACCUUUGCUCAUUGACGUUACCCGCAGAAGAAGCACCGGCUAACUCCGUGCCAGCAGCCGCGGUAAUACGGAGGGUGCAAGCGUUAAUCGGAAUUACUGGGCGUAAAGCGCACGCAGGCGGUUUGUUAAGUCAGAUGUGAAAUCCCCGGGCUCAACCUGGGAACUGCAUCUGAUACUGGCAAGCUUGAGUCUCGUAGAGGGGGGUAGAAUUCCAGGUGUAGCGGUGAAAUGCGUAGAGAUCUGGAGGAAUACCGGUGGCGAAGGCGGCCCCCUGGACGAAGACUGACGCUCAGGUGCGAAAGCGUGGGGAGCAAACAGGAUUAGAUACCCUGGUAGUCCACGCCGUAAACGAUGUCGACUUGGAGGUUGUGCCCUUGAGGCGUGGCUUCCGGAGCUAACGCGUUAAGUCGACCGCCUGGGGAGUACGGCCGCAAGGUUAAAACUCAAAUGAAUUGACGGGGGCCCGCACAAGCGGUGGAGCAUGUGGUUUAAUUCGAUGCAACGCGAAGAACCUUACCUGGUCUUGACAUCCACGGAAGUUUUCAGAGAUGAGAAUGUGCCUUCGGGAACCGUGAGACAGGUGCUGCAUGGCUGUCGUCAGCUCGUGUUGUGAAAUGUUGGGUUAAGUCCCGCAACGAGCGCAACCCUUAUCCUUUGUUGCCAGCGGUCCGGCCGGGAACUCAAAGGAGACUGCCAGUGAUAAACUGGAGGAAGGUGGGGAUGACGUCAAGUCAUCAUGGCCCUUACGACCAGGGCUACACACGUGCUACAAUGGCGCAUACAAAGAGAAGCGACCUCGCAAGCGGACCUCAUAAAGUGCGUCGUAGUCCGGAUUGGAGUCUGCAACUCGACUCCAUGAAGUCGGAAUCGCUAGUAAUCGUGGAUCAGAAUGCCACGGUGAAUACGUUCCCGGGCCUUGUACACACCGCCCGUCACACCAUGGGAGUGGGUUGCAAAAGAAGUAGGUAGCUUAACCUUCGGGAGGGCGCUUACCACUUUGUGAUUCAUGACUGGGGUGAAGUCGUAACAAGGUAACCGUAGGGGAACCUGCGGUUGGAUCACCUCCUUACCUUAAAGAAGC
Molecule: ribosomal RNA, 1548 nt
Filed under: Escherichia coli
Lineage: Bacteria; Pseudomonadati; Pseudomonadota; Gammaproteobacteria; Enterobacterales; Enterobacteriaceae
Description: bacterial SSU rRNA
Rfam family: Bacterial small subunit ribosomal RNA
Source: RNAcentral